Molecule: ribosomal RNA, 636 nt
Filed under: uncultured fungus
Lineage: Eukaryota; Fungi
Description: eukaryotic LSU rRNA
Rfam family: Eukaryotic large subunit ribosomal RNA
Source: RNAcentral
ACCCGCUGAACUUAAGCAUAUCAAUAAGCGGAGGAAAAGAAACUAACAAGGAUUCCCCUAGUAACUGCGAGUGAAGCGGGAAAAGCUCAAAUUUAAAAUCUGGCGGUCCUCGCGGCCGUCCGAGUUGUAAUCUAGAGAAGCGUCAUCCGUGCCGGUCCGCGUACAAGUCUCUUGGAAUAGAGCGUCAUAGAGGGUGAGAAUCCCGUCUCUGCCGCGGACUACCGGUGCAUUGCGAUGCGCUCUCGACGAGUCGAGUUGUUUGGGAAUGCAGCUCAAAAUGGGUGGUAAAUUCCAUCUAAAGCUAAAUAUUGGCGAGAGACCGAUAGCGAACAAGUACCGUGAGGGAAAGAUGAAAAGAACUUUGGAAAGAGAGUUAAACAGUACGUGAAAUUGUUGAAAGGGAAACGCUUGAAGUCAGUCGCGUCUAUUGGGGAUCAGCCUUCUCUCGAGUCGGCGUACUUCCCAACAGACGGGUCAGCAUCGAUUUCGUCCGUCGGAGAAAGGCGAGGGGAAUGUGGCAUCUUCGGAUGUGUUAUAGCCUCUCGUCGUAUGCGACGGAUGGGUUCGAGGUAUUCAGCGCGCCGCAAGGCCGGGGUUCGCCCACGUCCGCGCUUAGGAUGCUGGCAUAAUGGCUUU